GUGGGGAAUUUUGGACAAUGGGGGCAACCCUGAUCCAGCCAUGCCGCGUGCGGGAAGAAGGCCUUCGGGUUGUAAACCGCUUUUGUCAGGGAAGAAAUCCUUUGGGUUAAUACCUCGGAGGGAUGACGGUACCUGAAGAAUAAGCACCGGCUAACUACGUGCCAGCAGCCGCGGUAAUACGUAGGGUGCGAGCGUUAAUCGGAAUUACUGGGCGUAAAGCGUGCGCAGGCGGUUUUGUAAGAUCGAUGUGAAAUCCCCGGGCUCAACCUGGGAACUGCAUUGGUGACUGCAAGGCUGGAGUGCGGCAGAGGGGGAUGGAAUUCCGCGUGUAGCAGUGAAAUGCGUAGAUAUGCGGAGGAACACCGAUGGCGAAGGCAAUCCCCUGGGCCUGCACUGACGCUCAUGCACGAAAGCGUGGGGAGCAAACAGGAUUAGAAACCCUAGAGUCC
RNAcentral lists this ribosomal RNA (449 nucleotides) under uncultured bacterium. RNAcentral describes it as "partial 16S ribosomal RNA". It matches the Rfam family "Bacterial small subunit ribosomal RNA", at positions 354 to 796 of the family's 1533-position model. The record is from RNAcentral.